AAAUUGAAGAGUUUGAUCAUGGCUCAGAUUGAACGCUGGCGGCAGGCCUAACACAUGCAAGUCGAGCGGCAGCGGGAAAGUAGCUUGCUACUUUUGCCGGCGAGCGGCGGACGGGUGAGUAAUGCCUGGGAAAUUGCCCAGUCGAGGGGGAUAACAGUUGGAAACGACUGCUAAUACCGCAUACGCCCUACG
This 192-nucleotide ribosomal RNA is filed under the name Aeromonas dhakensis. Its description in RNAcentral is "partial 16S ribosomal RNA". It matches the Rfam family "Bacterial small subunit ribosomal RNA", at positions 1 to 184 of the family's 1533-position model. Lineage: Bacteria; Pseudomonadati; Pseudomonadota; Gammaproteobacteria; Aeromonadales; Aeromonadaceae. The record is from RNAcentral.